UCUGGCCCCUAGAGGCGUUGCAGGUGUGGCUGCUGUAUCACAAAUGCGCCAGUAGGUGGCAGAGAGGAGACAGGCUCUGUCUACACUCUCAUUGGUCAACAUCUGAAGAAUUAGUAGCCUAACAUU
Arvicanthis niloticus (Nile rat) is the source of this 126-nucleotide small nucleolar RNA. RefSeq annotates it as small nucleolar RNA SNORA17. NCBI's taxonomy places the organism in Eukaryota, Metazoa, Chordata, Mammalia, Rodentia, Muridae. The record is from RefSeq and is a predicted model, not a curated record.